This 254-nucleotide ribosomal RNA is filed under the name uncultured bacterium. RNAcentral's name for it is "partial 16S ribosomal RNA". It matches the Rfam family "Bacterial small subunit ribosomal RNA", at positions 524 to 776 of the family's 1533-position model. The record is from RNAcentral.
UACGGGGGGGGGCAAGCGUUGUUCGGAAUUACUGGGCGUAAAGGGCUCGUAGGCGGCCAACUAAGUCAGACGUGAAAUCCCUCGGCUUAACCGGGGAACUGCGUCUGAUACUGGAUGGCUUGAGAUUGGGAGAGGGAUGCGGAAUUCCAGGUGUAGCGGUGAAAUGCGUAGAUAUCUGGAGGAACACCAACGGCGAAAGCACUCUGCUGGGCCGACACUGACACUGAGAGACGAAAGCUAGGGGAGCGAAUGGG